Molecule: ribosomal RNA, 253 nt
Filed under: uncultured bacterium
Lineage: Bacteria
Description: partial 16S ribosomal RNA
Rfam family: Bacterial small subunit ribosomal RNA
Source: RNAcentral
UACGUAGGGGGCGAGCGUUGUCCGGAUUCAUUGGGCGUAAAGAGCUCGUAGGCGGCUUGGUAAGUCGGGUGUGAAACCUCCAGCUCAACCUGGAGACGCCACUCGAUACUGCCAUGCUAGAGUCCGGUAGGGGCCCACGGAAUUCCUGGUGUAGCGGUGAAAUGACGCAGAUAUCAGGAGGAACACCGGUGGCGAAGGCGGGUCUCUGGGCCGAUACUGACGCUGAGGAGCGAAAGCGUGGGGAGCGAACAGG